UUGAUUCUAAGGCCUAACUACUAGUUGGGCCUGAGUUUUAUAUCUUAGGCCCCUUUGUUUUCAUCCUAACUCUUGAACGACAUAAUAACUUAAACACAACAUUGGGCCAAGCAAACAACAGAGAGAGGUGAAAGGAAAGGUUGAGCAGCCCUUUAUUUUACAUUUUUGAGAUAUGUAAACAUAAGUUUUACAACACGGUGAGAUAUAAAUAUGCGAUCUAAUUUAUUUUUCUCUCUUUAACUAGCGGAUAUCUUCCAGAGACAAAAGGAUGAAGAGAUUAGGAUGGGACUAGGCUGAUCCUGACAUUUUGUUAUUAUUCUUCCUUACAACCCUCCUAUUGUCUCCUAUUCCAAAUUCCAACUCCAAAAAACUUCUCUCCCCUUGCUUGAGGGUUUUUCUCAAUGUUUCUAUGAGGGUUACAAGUCCAUUCAAAUCUGAUGCCACCGACCCUAGUCAUGGCUGGAGUCGGUGGAUUUCAAUGGGGGAGCCACAUAGAGCCUAGGAUUGGCCUAGGCCUACCCUGCAAUUACAACGUUUAAUGCCUAUUAUCUACAAAUGCUUACAAAAAUUAGCGUGUGCCCCAUGGCUUAGUGUUGUUUUGCACUUUCAAAAGGUCAUGGUUUGGGACCUUUUGGUAUGCCAACACUUUUAGAUUUUCUUUUUUUUUUUUAACUGAAAGAAAAAAAAAACCCUUAUGAUUUAUCUUUUUUUUUUUUUUUUUUUUGUUACCAUAUUAAAGCUAACCCCUAUUUUUUUAUGUUAUAAUUGGCCUUAUGUUUUAACUAUAAAAACCAUGUAGUCGAGAGCAAUGUCUUAUUUUAAGUUACAACCUUAAAUUUAGUUUUAAUUUAAUGUGUGAAUUUUUGUAUAUCAAAACUCGUGAACAAGUUUUGUUCUUAUGAUGUAAUCAUUUUAAUACCAAGAUUUUUAUACCAAAUUAAGGCUCCACCAUUCUUGUUUGAUUAAAAUUUUCCAUAUCACUACAAAAAACAAAAACUUUAAUUUUCCUCUCAUUUUUUUGUGUUGUAAUUAAUUUUUCUAAUUUUUUUUUUGUAGGGCCUUAAAGGCCCUUCUAGUCUAAUUUCUAGCUCCGCCACUAUGUGCUUUCCUUUUUCUCCUCUUUCCUUAUGCUGUUUUUACCCUGCUAUCCUUCCUAAUUUGCCUAUUUCUUCACACCCCAUCGGCGUCCCUCCUCCUUGCUCAUUUCUGCUCCGAUAUGCAACCGCUUCAUAAUCGCGAUUUGUUGAGGUACUUCGAGAUGUGUUGCUCGUGGAAUCCCAUAGACUUCCUUUACUUGGUUGUUGGUUUUCGUCUUUAUGGUUGUGUUCGGAGAGGUGCUCGUGGCUGGAUGUUGCAAUUGGCAGGGCGUUGGUCGGUUGGUGGUGUGGGAUUGUGCUGGUAGAGAAGCUCGGUGGCGGCGGGUGCAGUGGAAGGCUAGGCCUUCUUUUGCUGCAUUUUACAAUUUGGGCCUCAAUUGUUGGUUAGGUUUUGGGCUAGCUUGGCAUGUCCACUUUUAUUUGUUUGUGCUCAUUUAUCUUUGGGCCUUGCAUUGUUUAUUUGUGUUUGAUAAUGUAUUCACCUUUGUACCCAAAAUAAAAAAAUAAAAAAAAAUUCCUAACUA
Molecule: long non-coding RNA, 1621 nt
Organism: Pyrus x bretschneideri (Chinese white pear)
Lineage: Eukaryota; Viridiplantae; Streptophyta; Magnoliopsida; Rosales; Rosaceae
Exons: 2
Source: RefSeq, a predicted model, not a curated record